GACGAACGCUGGCGGCGUGCCUAACACAUGCAAGUCGAGCGGGGAUAUUCGAGUAGCAAUACGAGGAUGUUCCAGCGGCGGACGGGUGAGUAACGCGUGAGCAACCUGUCCCAAACAGGGGGAUAACGAACCGAAAGGUUCACUAAUACCGCAUAAGACCACGAGGCCACAUGGUUUGAGGUCAAAGGAGAAAUCCGGUUUGGGGUGGGCUCGCGUCUGAUUAGCUAGUUGGUGGGGUAACGGCCUACCAAGGCGACGAUCAGUAGCCGACCUGAGAGGGUGAUCGGCCACAUUGGAACUGAGAGACGGUCCAAAACUCCUACGGGAGGCAGCAGUGGGGAAUAUUGGGCAAUGGGCGAAAGCCUGACCCAGCAACGCCGCGUGAAGGAAGAAGGUUUUCGGAUCGUAAACUUCUAUCCUUGGUGAAGAUAAUGACGGUAGCCAAGAAGGAAGCCCCGGCUAACUACGUG
This 470-nucleotide ribosomal RNA is filed under the name uncultured bacterium. RNAcentral's name for it is "bacterial SSU rRNA". It matches the Rfam family "Bacterial small subunit ribosomal RNA", at positions 28 to 507 of the family's 1533-position model. The record is from RNAcentral.